Molecule: ribosomal RNA, 240 nt
Filed under: Clostridioides difficile
Lineage: Bacteria; Bacillati; Bacillota; Clostridia; Peptostreptococcales; Peptostreptococcaceae
Description: partial 23S ribosomal RNA
Rfam family: Bacterial large subunit ribosomal RNA
Source: RNAcentral
UGGGUAGGGGAGCUUCCCAUACGGGUUGAAGCAUGACCGUAAGGACAUGUGGACAGUAUGGGAGUGAGAAUGUUGGCAUGAGUAGCGAGAUGUGGGUGAGAAUCCCACAGGCCGUAAACCCAAGGUUGCCAGGGGAAGGUUCGUCCGCCCUGGGUUAGUCGGGACCUAAGCUGAGGCCGAAAGGCGUAGGUGAUGGACAACAGGUUGAUAUUCCUGUACUACCGAUAACCGAUUGAGAGA